AAUCCAAUCAAGCCUGGCUUGGUAUUGGGCGUCGGGGUGUCCCGCGCCUCAAUUUCACCGGCUGGCCGUCGCCCGUCUUAGCGUUGUGACACACUUCUCGCUGACGAUGGGGGCGGACCACGCCGUUAGAACUCCAUGAAUUUCAAUCGAAAUUCGAUUA
Molecule: unclassified non-coding RNA, 160 nt
Filed under: uncultured Capnodiales
Lineage: Eukaryota; Fungi; Ascomycota; Dothideomycetes; Capnodiales
Description: sequence contains ITS2
Source: RNAcentral